AGUGAACGCUGGCGGCAGGCCUAACACAUGCAAGUCGAACGGCAGCACAGCAGUAGCAAUACUGUGGGUGGCGAGUGGCGGACGGGUGAGGAACACAUCGGAAUCUACCUUGUCGUGGGGGAUAACGUAGGGAAACUUACGCUAAUACCGCAUACGAACUACGGUUGAAAGCGGCGGACCGCAAGGCGUCGCGCGAUUGGAUGAGCCGAUGUCCGAUUAGCUAGUUGGCGGGGUAAAGGCCCACCAAGGCGACGAUCGGUAGCUGGUCUGAGAGGAUGAUCAGCCACACUGGAACUGAGACACGGUCCAGACUCCUACGGGAGGCAGCAGUGGGGAAUAUUGGACAAUGGGCGCAAGCCUGAUCCAGCCAUGCCGCGUGUGUGAAGAAGG
RNAcentral lists this ribosomal RNA (390 nucleotides) under uncultured bacterium. RNAcentral describes it as "bacterial SSU rRNA". It matches the Rfam family "Bacterial small subunit ribosomal RNA", at positions 29 to 414 of the family's 1533-position model. The record is from RNAcentral.